AACGAACGCUGGCGGCAUGCCUAACACAUGCAAGUCGAACGAGACCUUCGGGUCUAGUGGCGCACGGGUGCGUAACGCGUGGGAACCUGCACUUAGGUUCGGAAUAACUCCCCGAAAGGGGUGCUAAUACAGGAUAAUGUCUUCGGACCAAAGAUUUAUCGCCUUUGGAUGGGCCCGCGUUGGAUUAGCCAGUUGGUAGGGUAAAAGCCUACCAAGGCGACGAUCCAUAGCUGGUCGGAGAGGAUGAUCCGCCACACUUGGACUGAGACACGGCCCAGACGCCUACGCGAGGCAGCAGUGUGGAAUAUUGGACACUGGGCGAAAGCCUGAUCCAGCAAUGCCGCGUGAGUGAUGAAGGCCUUAGGGUUGUAAAGCUCUUUUACCCGGGAUGAUAAUGACAGUACCGGGAGAAUAAGCUCCGGCUAACUCCGUG
This 433-nucleotide ribosomal RNA is filed under the name uncultured bacterium. Its description in RNAcentral is "partial 16S ribosomal RNA". It matches the Rfam family "Bacterial small subunit ribosomal RNA", at positions 29 to 507 of the family's 1533-position model. The record is from RNAcentral.